RNAcentral lists this ribosomal RNA (484 nucleotides) under uncultured bacterium. RNAcentral describes it as "partial 16S ribosomal RNA". It matches the Rfam family "Bacterial small subunit ribosomal RNA", at positions 28 to 507 of the family's 1533-position model. The record is from RNAcentral.
AUUGAACGCUGGCGGCAUGCUCUACACAUGCAAGUCGAACGGCAGCGCGGGCUUCGGCCUGGCGGCGAGUGGUGAACGGGUGAGUAAUGCAUCGGAACGUGCCCAGUAGUGGGGGAUAGCCCGGCGAAAGCCGGAUUAAUACCGCAUACGACCUGAGGGUGAAAGCGGGGGACCGAAAGGCCUCGCGCUAUUGGAGCGGCCGAUGUCGGAUUAGCUAGUUGGUGGGGUAAAGGCUUACCAAGGCGACGAUCCGUAGCUGGUCUGAGAGGACGACCAGCCACACUGGGACUGAGACACGGCCCAGACUCCUACGGGAGGCAGCAGUGGGGAAUUUUGGACAAUGGGGGCAACCCUGAUCCAGCCAUGCCGCGUGCGGGAAGAAGGCCUUCGGGUUGUAAACCGCUUUUGUUCGGGAAGAAAUCCUCUGGGCUAAUACCCCGGGGGGAUGACGGUACCGGAAGAAUAAGCACCGGCUAACUACGUG